UGGAUAGAUGCUACACACAGCUCAGCCCAGC
This 31-nucleotide non-coding RNA is filed under the name Macaca fascicularis (crab-eating macaque). Lineage: Eukaryota; Metazoa; Chordata; Mammalia; Primates; Cercopithecidae. The record is from RNAcentral. RNAcentral also lists the same sequence under 1 other name.